UUAAGUUCAGCGGGUAUCCCUACCUGAUCCGAGGUCAAAAGUGAAAAUGACUUGCUGGAUGCUAGUAUUUCAGGCUAGAAUCGCAAAAUGUGCUGCGCUUCAAUACCAAAACACUGGCUGCCAAUUGCUUUAAGGCGAGUCCAAACACCAGGGAGUGGACAAACACCCAACACCAAGCAGAGCUUGAGGGUACAAAUGAC
RNAcentral lists this unclassified non-coding RNA (200 nucleotides) under Pleosporales sp. Its description in RNAcentral is "partial internal transcribed spacer 2". Lineage: Eukaryota; Fungi; Ascomycota; Dothideomycetes; Pleosporales. The record is from RNAcentral.